CCUGCUGCUGAUUAUUUACUGCUCCUCUCUCCUAUUUCAGGCCUGCGGCGCGUCACUUUUCCUGUGCGGGGAAAGUUGUCCAAUUGAAGAGCGGCUAAGGAAACUAUAGCCAUUCGCCGGCCGGCUGAAGCGAGAGUUCAACCCGGCCCAGCAGCGGAAUGCUGGGAAACAAGGAGGGAGUGAAACUGGCCUCGUCUUCCCCAGCGGGCUACGUGGGCCAAUACACGGGCGACCGUCUCGCAAAUUCCCCGCCGUUUUUCAAUCGGGUGCAAUUUCUCAUGCUUUUUGAGGGUACUGCGUCACGUUCUCCGACACGAAAACGAUGUUCCCCUCCAUGUUCACCACGAAGAAGAACCCGUCCAAGGCCUGCGUGGGGGACCGCAGAGACGAGCGAGAGGACGGAAUCAAGGGAGAGCAGAAUAAAAUCAUGCUUUCAUUAGACACUUAUACCUAGGAACACGUUACAGCUGCACCAGUGCAGGACCGUGACGCAGCAGCACCCACCUCAAGCAUCAUCGGUCCGAGGGCAUCUUUGUCAAUCACGCUUUGGCCUGUCGACGAGACGUCAGCCUUCUGCACCUCCUCUUCAUUGG
Long non-coding RNA from Anguilla rostrata (American eel), 593 nucleotides. RefSeq lists it as uncharacterized. Lineage: Eukaryota; Metazoa; Chordata; Actinopteri; Anguilliformes; Anguillidae. The record is from RefSeq and is a predicted model, not a curated record. The transcript has 3 exons.